CCUACGGGAGGCAGCAGUGGGGAAUAUUGGGCAAUGGAGGCAACUCUGACCCAGCAACGCCGCGUGAAUGAUGAAGGUCUUCGGAUUGUAAAGUUCUGUGAUGGGGGAUGAACACAAUGACGGUACCCCACUAGCAAGCCACGGCUAACUACGUGCCAGCAGCCGCGGUAAUGCGUAGGUGGCAAGCGUUAUCCGGAAUGACUGGGCGUAAAGGGUGCGUAGGUGGUUUAGUAAGUUGGCGGGGUAAUUCCGGGGCGCAACCUCGGCGCUACCGCCAAAACUAGUAGACUAGAGUGCAGGAGGGGUAAGUGGAAUGCCGAGUGUAGCGGUGGAAUGCGUAGAUAUUAGGAGGAACAUCAGGGGCGAAGGCGACUUACUGGACUGUAACUGACACUGAGGCACGAAAGCGUGGGGAGCAAACAGGAUUAGAUACCCGGGUAGUC
RNAcentral lists this ribosomal RNA (443 nucleotides) under uncultured bacterium. RNAcentral describes it as "partial 16S ribosomal RNA". It matches the Rfam family "Bacterial small subunit ribosomal RNA", at positions 338 to 795 of the family's 1533-position model. The record is from RNAcentral.